ACGGAAGGCAGCAGUGGGGAAUAUUGCACAAUGGGGGAAACCCUGAUGCAGCGACGCCGCGUGAGUGAAGAAGUAUUUCGGUAUGUAAAGCUCUAUCAGCAGGGAAGAAUAUGACGGUACCUGACUAAGAAGCCCCGGCUAACUACGUGCCAGCAGCCGCGGCAAUACGUAGGGGCAAGCGUUAUCCGGAUUUACUGGGUGUAAAGGGGGCGCAGACGGCAAAACAAGUCUGAAGUGAAAGCCCGGGGCUCAACCCUGGGACUGCUUUGGAAACUGUUUAGCUAGAGUACUGGAGAGGUAAGCGGAAUUCCUAGUGUAGCGGUGAAAUGCGUAGAUAUUAGGAAGAACCCCAGUGGCGAAGGCGGCUUACUGGACAGCAACUGACGUUGAGGCCCGAAAGCGUGGGGAGCAAACAGGAUUAGAUACCCUGGUA
This 433-nucleotide ribosomal RNA is filed under the name uncultured Clostridiales Family XIV bacterium. RNAcentral describes it as "bacterial SSU rRNA". It matches the Rfam family "Bacterial small subunit ribosomal RNA", at positions 341 to 792 of the family's 1533-position model. The record is from RNAcentral. Lineage: Bacteria; Bacillati; Bacillota; Clostridia; Eubacteriales; Clostridiales Family XIV. Incertae Sedis.